GAUCAUGGCUCAGGAUGAACGCUAGCUACAGGCUUAACACAUGCAAGUCGAGGGGCAUCAGGAAGAAAGCUUGCUUUCUUUGCUGGCGACCGGCGCACGGGUGAGUAACACGUAUCCAACCUGCCCUUUACUCGGGGAUAGCCUUUCGAAAGAAAGAUUAAUACCCGAUGGGAUAAUCAUUCCGCAUGGUUUGAUUAUUAAAGGAUUCCCGGUAAAGGAUGGGGAUGCGUUCCAUUAGGUUGUUGGUGAGGUAACGG
RNAcentral lists this ribosomal RNA (257 nucleotides) under uncultured bacterium. Its description in RNAcentral is "partial 16S ribosomal RNA". It matches the Rfam family "Bacterial small subunit ribosomal RNA", at positions 15 to 263 of the family's 1533-position model. The record is from RNAcentral.